RNAcentral lists this transfer RNA (72 nucleotides) under Myxococcales bacterium. RNAcentral describes it as "tRNA-Val". It matches the Rfam family "tRNA". From Rfam's summary of the family: Transfer RNA (tRNA) molecules are approximately 80 nucleotides in length. Their secondary structure includes four short double-helical elements and three loops (D, anti-codon, and T loops). Further hydrogen bonds mediate the characteristic L-shaped molecular structure. tRNAs have two regions of fundamental functional importance: the anti-codon, which is responsible for specific mRNA codon recognition, and the 3' end, to which the tRNAs corresponding amino acid is attached (by aminoacyl-tRNA synthetases). tRNAs cope with the degeneracy of the genetic code in two manners: having more than one tRNA (with a specific anti-codon) for a particular amino acid; and 'wobble' base-pairing, i.e. permitting non-standard base-pairing at the 3rd anti-codon position. The record is from RNAcentral. Lineage: Bacteria; Pseudomonadati; Myxococcota; Myxococcia; Myxococcales.
AGGCGGAUAGCUCAGUGGUAGAGCAGCGCCCUUACAAGGCGACGGUCGCAGGUUCGAUCCCUGUUCCGCCUA